Molecule: ribosomal RNA, 253 nt
Filed under: uncultured bacterium
Lineage: Bacteria
Description: partial 16S ribosomal RNA
Rfam family: Bacterial small subunit ribosomal RNA
Source: RNAcentral
UACGUAGGGUGCGAGCGUUGUCCGGAAUUAUUGGGCGUAGAGGGCUCGUAGGCGGUUUGUCGCGUCGGGAGUGAAAACAUCCAGCUUAACUGGGUGCUUGCUUUCGAUACGGGCAGACUUGAGGUAUGCAGGGGAGAAUGGAAUUCCUGGUGUAGCGGUGAAAUGCGCAGAUAUCAGGAGGAACACCGGUGGCGAAGGCGGUUCUCUGGGCAUUACCUGACGCUGAGGAGCGAAAGUGUGGGGAGCGAACAGG